UUCCGUUUCCGUUUUGAUUCCUUCCUCAGGUAUGUUUGGCUGUUUGUUGGCGGUGUAACAAUGUGCAUGUUGCGAGUCUAAUAUGCGCUAUUUAUAGUUUCAUUUAGAGCGCGUCUGGUGGCGUUGGCAGUGCGGCAACUCGCGGCGUAUUUCGGCUGCAGGGCCAGUGAGGAUCGGGUGGAACUGGGGAGGCUAGCUGCUGUCAUUUUGCAGUGUGCGGUGUGUGUGGAUACAACUUCCCAUUGGUGUGUGUGAUGGUUGCUUUGGUGUGAAUUUAGGUGGGUUUUUGGAUAACCAUUCUGAGUUGCAGCCGGCCUGCCUGGUUCCCACUAAUCCUGGCCCUGGGAAUUACCUCCCUUAUUGUGGAAAUGGUUUGUGUGAGAGCGUUUUAAAUCUAUGCGUGUGUUUUAAAAUAAAAUCCAAUCUUUUGUAUUCUCGCCCCCGUCUCCCCUACUUUGCCUUCAUUUGGUGAAACUUACCUGUGUCCUUUAAUGGGAAUAAAUUCUCUGGUUUCCCACCAGGGUGGCGUAGUCGGAUAAAUUCACUGAUUAACCUUUCCUUUCAUGUGAUACCGCCACAUUAAGUUUUAAGUAAAAAUAGGUGGAGGGGUUUAUACAGUGAACAAGUCGUAGAAGCUACUUUUUAAUAUGUUUUUGUAAAUAAUUGCGAUUUCGAACAUUUUUCAUAGUUAUUUUAACAAGUGCAUACUAAUCAGUGAAUACCUAUCAUAAGUGAAUACAGAUGGUACUUUACAAUGGCAUAUGGAUUAGUCCUUUAAGGUUUACUUCCAUCAUAUAAAAAAAAUGCUUAUGUUGCUUUAGUUGACCUCAGGAAAAAAUCUAUCAAUCAAAAUCUAUCGAACAAUCACACCAUUAGAAAUACCCCAUAUAGAAACUAAACACACUGUAAACAUACAAAACCCCUUAGUUAGAGUAUUAUGAUAUAGCUUGUGUUUAGUGUGAAACCUUUGAUGCUCUGAUUUAAAGAGACAGGAAUGGAUGCAUUAAAUUGCCUUUAUGGAUCUUGUCAAGAUUGCUUUCCACAGGUUAAUCAUUUUUAAUGCAUGGCACAUGUGUGUAAUUAAAUCCUCCACUCCUAUGCUUCCUUUGAUUUAUAAGUUGCUUUAGCCCGGUGGGUCAUUAAUGCCCUCUUCAUUAGAGCUUGUUUACUGGAUUAAACACCUUUGGAGAGCCAAGCUUAGCAAAACUUUUGCAUCAUGGAACAAGAAAUAAUCAGAUCUCAUUGGCAAGGUCGCCCCAUGGGUUUGUCGAGCUUUAUUUAAAUAGGCCCAACUGGAGUGAAAAUUGUUGUAACAUUAAAAAGUGCAUAGAAUGCACAUCAAACAUGAAGAGUGGAUCAUUUUUAAAAGAAUCCACUAAAAUGUCCAUGCACUUUUUUUCAACAUUACAAAAUUACGUUGU
Cyprinus carpio carpio is the source of this 1421-nucleotide long non-coding RNA. The record is from Ensembl. Lineage: Eukaryota; Metazoa; Chordata; Actinopteri; Cypriniformes; Cyprinidae.